Non-coding RNA from Vicugna pacos (alpaca), 1788 nucleotides. NCBI's taxonomy places the organism in Eukaryota, Metazoa, Chordata, Mammalia, Artiodactyla, Camelidae. The record is from RefSeq and is a predicted model, not a curated record.
GCUUGCAGGGUUAUUGUGGAGCCUAAAUGAGAUAAUGCAUAUUUGUACAUAGCACAGCAUUUAUCAGAAGCCCAGUAAAUGGUAGUCAUUAUUAUUUUGUGUGACAUUUCCCCUCCUUCUUCCCCUAGUGUAUUCACGGUUGGCAGAUGACUGCUGGCUUCUCCAGGUCCCUCUUCAGUGUUCUACCUGAAACUCUGCCACAAACUCUAGCCAGUCUCUCUGUCAUGUGCCUAAAAACUUAACUGUCCCAUCUAUUGAUCCCUUGAAGUCCUGAAUGGAUCUGAAAACAAUCCCAUCAACAAAUUGCCUUGGGAAAAUUCUGAAUGUUAUUUAAACAAGCACACUGAGACAUUGUAAAAGCAAAACACAUUCAUGAUUAUCACUUAAAAACUCAGCAAUACCUAUUUUGGAGCUCUGCUUAAAAGUAUUGUGAAGAGGAAAGAUAAAAUGACAAAGACUUGAAAACAAAAAAAUCUCCAGCUUGGAAACAAUGAAUAAUGGUAAGACCAGAUAAUCUUGUUUUCUCUCCUGCCUAAGUCUAUAUUUUCAUGCCCAUGAGCCUGGACAACUCAGGGAGUCACCCAAGGUGCCCUCCAUCUCUCGUACUUCUGCUGCUAGUUACCAUGGCGGUUAUGUCUGGACCCUGACCCUCUUUUAUUUACUGUUGGGUAAGGUCUGGCCAACUGAAGGCUCUGGCCAGUGAUAGUAUCAAAAGGAGGGAUAAAUUCAGCUUAUAUUGCUAUGAUCUUGGCUCCUUGAUGAAGAAUGUCCUGUUUUCUUUUUAAUAUACACCUGUCAUUCCAAAUCUAAAAUUGUCUGAUGCAUCAUAAUAAGGAACUAGAGUAGCCAUUCCCUCCUGUUCCCUCCAAAAUAUCUGAUUGAGGGGAAAAAUUUCUGUGAUACUGGAGAAGUUAUAUUUCUUUUAUGUCUUUAUCUAUAUGAUGAUAGGGAGGCAUUACACUCUUUCGAAAACACACAAGUAGAUCAUGGACUAACAUAAACUAAUAUAACUAGGACUGAAGAAUCUGAAUGAAGUCAGGGAAUGGGUACACAUAUGCAACAUUGAUGGUGAGAGAUAACUUUAUUGACAAAGUAUUAAAAUUAGGGGUUUUAUCCUGAAUCAUUUAGCUGAGAAUUUAAAUAAAUAUGAAGAAGGGCUCAAAUGUAUUGUCCUUGUUAUGCUAAGAGGUUGUAUAAACUGGAAAUACAAAACAAGCAAAGGGGGCUUGGAAAAAUCCAUGACUGUUAAAUCAACAGAGGAAUAUAAAAGAAAGUAGGUGCACCUGUCCCGGGUCAACAUGCUAUCGCGAGUUAGUCUGCUCGGAAUCAGACUUCCUUAAUCCGUAAAUCGGACUGUUCUUUGGCUUUCUGGCAGAGAAGAAUUGGGGCAGUAUCUAAAUGAAAUCUAUAAUACAAUGUUUAUGAAAGUUUGAGCUUCUGCUAAAUUGAUUUGACUAAUUUACCUAUCUGAUGUGGUUACCUAAACGAAACAGAAUGAUGAGUGCUCCUCUUCUACUAGAGAUACUGAUUAAUCUUCAAAAGCGUUCAGGAUGAGUUCCUGUGUUAAAGAUUCAGUGAGUUGUUUUUUUUUUUUUUUUUUUUCCUGAAGAGAAUAAGGGUUUAUUUCACUAUUAUAUUACCUGCAGACAGCAGGGUUUGUAGGAAUGAGGUAAAAGAAAAGCAACUGACUAUGGGGGGUUGCGCAAAAGGGAGCUGAGGGAGAAGCUGUGGGAAGACUCAAGCAGUGGGGUUUGGGGGGUUUUUCCUUAGGAAAGCAGGCUUCUGGGG